UGGGGAAUUUUGGACAAUGGGCGCAAGCCUGAACCAGCAAUGCCGCGUGCAGGAUGAAGGCCUUCGGGUUGUAAACUGCUUUUGUACGGAGCGAAAAGGUCUGCCCUAAUACGGUGGGCUCAUGACGGUACCGUAAGAAUAAGCACCGGCUAACUACGUGCCAGCAGCCGCGGUAAUACGUAGGGUGCGAGCGUUAAUCGGAAUUACUGGGCGUAAAGCGUGCGCAGGCGGUUAUAUAAGACAGAUGUGAAAUCCCCGGGCUCAACCUGAGACCUACAUUUGUGACUGUAUAGCUAGAGUACGGUAGAGGGGGAUGAAAUUCCGCGUAUAGCAGUGAAAUGCGUAGAUAUGCAGAGGAACACCGAUAGCGAAGGCAAUCCCCUGGACCUGUACUGACGCUCAUGCACGAAAGCGUGGGGAGCAAACA
This 427-nucleotide ribosomal RNA is filed under the name uncultured bacterium. Its description in RNAcentral is "bacterial SSU rRNA". It matches the Rfam family "Bacterial small subunit ribosomal RNA", at positions 355 to 774 of the family's 1533-position model. The record is from RNAcentral.